Small nucleolar RNA from Physella acuta, 65 nucleotides. RefSeq annotates it as small nucleolar RNA U54. The record is from RefSeq and is a predicted model, not a curated record. NCBI's taxonomy places the organism in Eukaryota, Metazoa, Mollusca, Gastropoda, Physidae.
AAGCUAUGAGGAUAAUUUGUAUGCUGAAUUUUAGUGAUUCACUUAUACGCUAUUCUGAGCUUUUU